UUUAUUAAAAUCGUUAACAAAAACGUUACAGCGUCGGUAACACCUACCUCCAUUAUUUGUCAAAAUCAAAAAAGGAAAAAACGUUGCCGACAUGUAUGAAAAGUUUAAGGUUGCAGAUUUCGUUUCUUUAUUCAUUAGAAGUGUAGGCAUUGUAUUCAAACAAAGAGCUACCUAUGUCGACAGAAAUUGCUUUUGAAUCGAUUAAGAAUGUUACAAUUGGACCUCCCUCAAUUAAUUUAUCUAUGGUCGAAAUUUUCUUAGAAGUCUUAUGAACAAAACAAACCCGUCUUGUCACUAAAAUCACAUAUUUCACUUACGUUAUACGUAAUUUCUAAAGAACAAAGUGUCUAAAUCCUUUAUUAUACGCGUACAGUACGAAUUACACCAAAAACUACACCGAAUUUACGAUUUAUUCAUAUUUAUUUUCUGAAAAACAAAAUCACAACGAGAUUAAUUUGCACAGCUUAACUACGAUUACGGCAAUUUGACAUUUCGUAACGCUAGAUUGUUUAUGAAAAGCAAGGAUGGGUAAAUAACAUCGAGCGUUAACUUAUCGAUAAAUGAUAAUGAAUGAUUCUUUAAUAAUUGAUGUGUUGUUAGUUUAAAGAUGGAAAAUUGAUAUUUUAUAAUCAUUUUAUUUUAAAAAAUAGUUUUUUAAUGAAAAUGUUAUACAAUAAAUAUGCUCACGUUAUUCUAUAGCGUAAAAGAUAUCUUACGAAUAGUAGCAUUAUUCAAACACUGGUAUGGAUAACAUUAAGUUGUAGCUGUAGAGUAAUAAUUAUGAAGAAGGGAAAAUGAGUUUUUUUUUCAUGGAAACGCCGUGCUCUAUAAGUAUUUUCGUAAUAAUUAACUUUUUUUCUGACUAUUUUACAUAUUUCAAAAAUAUACAUGCAGGGCAGAGUCUACAGUUUUAGUUUAUUCAAAUACGGUUACCUAUACUGGGUGUAAGGGGCAUGCUAACGAAAACUUAAUCCAGUGGUUCAGUACAUGAUUCUGAGUCUCUCAGCGUUGAAAUUUUUUGUCGGUCUUUUCACGAUAUUGAAAUUUUUUUUACAGUUUUUUUUAACUAAUUACAGCUUAGAAGUACUUAUUUCAUCUAUCUCAAUACGAUUUUUAAUAAAAAUCGUCAAAUCAAGAUUUUUAACAAAAACUAGCAAUGUAAAUUUAAUUUGCAAAAUGCGCGCGAUCAGCUGUUUUCCAAGAGGUCAAAUAGGCAGGUCACGACUAAUAGGUAUAUAUACAAAGUCACAAACAAACUGCGCGACGUUGUAUUGCCGACCGCCGCCGGUGCCGAGUAAAAUAAUUGCUAUCUCUCUCUAACCUAAGCCACGCAGCGCGGUUAAUAGGUAUUUUCAAAAUAUUGAAACUUUAGGUCCUUUCGCUAGACGCUACGCUAUUUUUUCUUUAGUUCGUGUUCAGCGGUCUGUUGACAAACAAACCAAAAUUCAAAAACUUUUGUGUAUGUUUUAUGUUCUGUUAGUAGUGAUUUUCUGUAACGAAUACUCAUACAAUUGUGUCGUUUGUAUUGUGUGUGUUUGUGUGUGUUGACUGAGAAGUCUUGAAAUGCUUAGAUCAAAUCAAUUCAGUACUCAUGAAUAUCGUACCUACUACGACGACAUAACGUCUCGUAAACGAGAAACAACCUGAAUAUAGUUAAAAACUUGUAAAGUAUAAAAAAUAGGUAUUAGAUAGGUAAGUGUAGCCAGCCGAUUUGCUGUCGAUGCGUACGUACCUACGUGUACGUACGCAGUAGAUUGCGGAGCGUUGUUAUCGCAUUAUUCGCUGUACAUUGCGUGCUCAAAAUUUUCAAAAUCUGAAUUUUCUUAUUUCCGACGUAAUUGGUAUUUAAAAUAUCGUUGUGGAAACUAAAUUUAACCUCUUCAUGCAGUUUUCGGUAUCAUGUCCCUUACACCCAGUAUGUACGUGGAUACGUGCACACUUUUUUGAAGUAUAAGCAAAUCUUGGACGUUAGUACGUCCCCAAAAGAUUAAAGAAAGAGACGGCCGCGUGGCGCAGUGGGUAGUGACCCUGCUUUCUGCAUCCACGGCUGUGGCUUCGAUUCCCACAACUGGAAAAUAUUUGUGUGAUGAGAUUGAGUGUUUUUAAGUGUCUGUGUGUAUUUAUACAUUUUAUAAGUGUAUAUGUAGCGUAUAUAAUUGUAUAUUAAUAUUAUAAUAUCAACUAUCUUAGCAUCCAUAACACAAGCUACUCUGUAUGCUUACUUUGAGGCUAGAUAGUGAUGUGUAUUGUUUAAGUAUAUUUAUAAUAAUAAUAAAAAAAAGAUUACCCCAUUUCUUAACCACGCGUACCCAUAGGCAUAAACCGUGCACCGUUCACCGUUUGUAACACGUGAUAUUUAAUUUCUUAAAAUGCACACAACCGAAAAACGUUACUAUACGUUCCCUUUUAAGAUAACGUAGUAUAGUAACGGAUAUUUUAGUUUAGGUAUUUCAGUUAUAACGAUACCUACUUGAUAUCGUUCCGAUGCCCGCCGUUAACUUCUCAACCCUACUGAUUGUCUUUGAUUCAUAGUCGGCCAUUAUUGUUGUGUAAAAAAGUCAUCUAAGAAAAUUUCGACCAUAGAAGCGGAUCUAAAGGAUCUCAAAUUAGUUGUCAAUUGGUUGAAUAAACACUUUGGCUGUUGCUACAUAAAAUCUCUGAAUUAGGUAUACUCUAUCUCAGUGCAUUGUUAUCUAUGCUGCUACAAUUUGCAAUGUUACUAAAGUUCUUGCCAAUAAAAGUUACAAUGCAUUAUUAGUAACUUUAAAAUGUGUCAUAUUUACAAAGUUUCUCGUAUCUGGUACAACUGAUAGUAGAAACGAUAUGAUAACAAUACGUUCGUCGAUACUAACUAUGUUUACACUCAGUUGAGUACACGCGGUAUGAAGUACUUACGGGACAUUCAAAUGUGCUAGUGUGGUUUGUUGCGAUGACUGUUUCACCACUACGCCCACUCCACCGAUUUCUCCAUUGAUACAAUAAUAACCUGCAAUUGCCGUCCGAAUCCGUGGUUAGGUAUUGUUUGCUUUUGUCAUUGAACCGGUGAAUUACGCUCUUUUGCUCGAUUGUUUGACUACCGGCCAAUUGGCUGUCUACCGUUUAUUUUUGCCAUGCAUCUGCCGUAUGGCGUGAUGAUUUAUUGUGACUACUCAAAUUGGCUUUACAAUUGUUUCUCGCUUUGCUAAUACCUGAAGUGUUAUUGAGGCUACGUUACUAUUAAUAUUGAUAAAGUGACUGACAUAUAUUGGCGCGAAUAAAGUACUGUUCAGUAGUUCCGUGUUAAUAAAGAUCAUGGUAAGGCAAUUAAGUUUUUCAACAAUUACAACUUCCUGGCAAAAGUAAAGGACAGAAGUGAUUCCGACGAAUGAUUAUAUGCUUUUUCAUUGGUGCAAGUAAUUAGAUAGGUAUUUUAUUCCUCAGUUAGAGGUUUUUCAUGCAUGAAAAGCCAAGGUAAACGUUCGAAAUACAUGAAUUUUAUUAAAUUAAAUUAAUCCAACCUACUUUUUAAAAUUAAUAUUUGUAAGUAUAUUAUUCAAUAAACAGAUUUAGCAAUCACUUCAUCAUUCUUAUGAAAGUCUACCUCGCUUUUUGCUGGUAACACUAAGUUAGAGAGGUAAAUAAAGGAGUGCCUUAUUGCUUAUUCAUACUAAACUGUAACAGGUAACCUUUGUUGAAGGUAUUCGGGAUAGCGAGCGACAAACUAGCCCUCGUAAAAUAAUUCACCUGACAUUUUCAAUACACGAUACCCUUUUUUGUUUCAAUACCGUAUCGAGGUAAAAUCAGUGAAUGACCUUCGCAACGAAUUACUUGAAACAAAAACUCGACCUUAUAAGGAGUUCAAAUUUAUUAAAUCUACUUCAUUAUUGCAUUGGAUGCAACGGUUACAUACAGCUGACAGAUGCAUUUAUCUUCAACUAGCGGACGCCCGCGACUUCGUCUGCGUAAAAUUCAAUGUCAAUUUUACUACUACCCCCUAACCUAACCUAACCUACCCUACCCCUACCAUACCCCUACCCUAUCACUACCCCAACCCUACCACUGCCCCAACCCUACCCCUACCCUACCCCUACCUUACCUAAACCCUACCCCAAUCCUACCCGUACCCUCCCCGUACCCUAUCCCUUUCCUACCCCUAUCCCACCCGUACCCUUAUCUCACGCCUAUCCUACCCCUACCCUGCCACUUCCCUAUCCUACCCGUACCUCUACCCUACCACUACCCUACCUCUACCCCGACCCUACCACUACCCUAAACCCGGCCCUAAACCUACCCUACCCCUACACUACCCCUACGCUUCCCUACCCGUACCCUAACCUACCCUGUAACUUCUCUAUCUCACUCCUACCCUUAGCAAAAUCGGUCCAGUCCUUCGAGAGUGGUGGUAUGACCAAGAGAAAUAGAGACUUCUAUGCUAAUAAUAUAAAGAGGUAAAGUUCGUGUGGUUGUAGGAGGUAAUCUCUGGAUCUACUGGACCGAUUUGGAAAAUUGUUUUACCAAUAGAAAGCUACGUUAUUUGCGAGUGUCCAAGGCUAUGUUUGAUCUCCAUAUUCACACGGGAACGGGAACUACGUAAAUGAAAGCGCCGGGCGUCAUAUAGUGGAAUUUCUGCGUCUUUUAGAAAUUUUGUAUUAUCUCCGAAACUAUUUAAGUAAUUAACAUACUGUAAAGGGCAAAUCUUAUCUCCAUAAUACCCUUGUGAUUAUUAAAUAAUUUAUUUUAAUAAGGAUUAAAGUUUAGUUGUAUAAAUAAUGACGUAAACCUAAGUAUAUAAAAUUAAUAAUUUUUAAAACACAAAAGGCCUUUUUUCUUCUAUAUAUCAGCUAAUAUAUAGAAGA
Molecule: long non-coding RNA, 4835 nt
Organism: Bicyclus anynana (squinting bush brown)
Lineage: Eukaryota; Metazoa; Arthropoda; Insecta; Lepidoptera; Nymphalidae
Exons: 2
Source: RefSeq, a predicted model, not a curated record